GCUGCAGGCACCUGCCCGGGGAGCGACCCGGGGCCAGGGAGAAGCCGUCCCGGCGCUGCGGGAGGCGGCGCACAGCGUCGGCUUUUCGACUUUCCGCCGCUCGCGAUGGAUUCGCAAGUACCAUUUUGGGGGGGAAGGGGCGCCGAGAAGACGCGAGGGAUUCCCUCUUCCCGCAAAAGGGCCGCGGAGCAGCGGCGGCGCAGCGUGGAGAUGGCAGCGCCCUUCUGACAGCAGCGCUCCGUGCCCUACGCUGCUCUCGUUGCUUUACGUUUCAGGAAGCAUGGGGAGGCUGAAUUCCGCCCAAAAGAGCCCCGCGGGAGCCCGGCUGCGCGGCUUUUCUGCUGGGAUCCCCCAACCGCCCCUCGUUCAUGAGUGCAGAAAGGCGAACGGUAGUGAGGUGAGCACGCUUGAAGCAGGAAAACGCCGUGCUCUGGCUAUCGGAUGUCCACAGCCACGAAACGAGGGGAAAAGAAAACGUAUUUAAGGGCCUUGCUAUGACAGUUCUCUGUCAGAAGCAACAGUGCAGGCAACAUUGUUAACAGAAGUAUGAAUUGUAAUUUCCCUCAGAGAUAACUCUAGAGAUACGUGGCUAUAUAUAUACGACACCUGUAUAUUCAAGUCCAGUUGCUUUUCUGCAUGAAAAUGAAAUAACAUGCAGUUCUUCGGA
Long non-coding RNA from Lagopus leucura (white-tailed ptarmigan), 667 nucleotides. RefSeq lists it as uncharacterized. The transcript has 2 exons. The record is from RefSeq and is a predicted model, not a curated record. Lineage: Eukaryota; Metazoa; Chordata; Aves; Galliformes; Phasianidae.